UACGUAGGGUGCAAGCGUUUGUCCGGAAUUAUUGGGCGUAAAGAGCUCGUAGGCGGUCUGUCGCGUCGGAUGUGAAAACCCAGGGCUCAACCCUGGGCCUGCAUUCGAUACGGGCAGACUAGAGUUCGGUAGGGGAGACUGGAAUUCCUGGUGUAGCGGUGAAAUGCGCAGAUAUCAGGAGGAACACCGGUGGCGAAGGCGGUUCUCUGGGCAUGUCCUGACGCUGAGGAGCGAAAGUGUGGGGAGCGAACAGG
This 254-nucleotide ribosomal RNA is filed under the name uncultured bacterium. RNAcentral describes it as "partial 16S ribosomal RNA". It matches the Rfam family "Bacterial small subunit ribosomal RNA", at positions 524 to 776 of the family's 1533-position model. The record is from RNAcentral.